CUUCUUGUUAUUUGUGAAACAUGUCGAAUAAGAUUAAGUUGCCUCUUGCUGUGGUCGGAUUCAUUCUCACUUUCUUAUUAAAGGCAGAAGCUAUAACAUUUGAUCCAUCUCAUCCCAGGAUAGUUAAUAACUCCACAGAAGUACGGAUCAACUGUCACCAUGACGAAAGUGAUAAGAAUGUAAUGCUUUGGUACAAACAACUCCAGGACGGACAGAUGAAGUUAAUUGUUUACAGCUACUUUGGCAGUGACCCUGUUUUUGAGAAAGACUUUUUGAAAAGGUUUGAGAUGAAGAGAACAGACAGGCAGACAGGAGCUCUGAUCAUCUCCAAUGUGGAGCCCAAUGACUCUGCGAUGUAUUUCUGUGCUGCCAGUACACAGUGAUGUGGUUAAUGUGAGUCUGAUAUUAAAACCUGCUCCUGGAUCUCAUUCAGCGCACAAAAACACAUGUUCAAACUGAGAGGAUUCAACUAGACACACGACAAUGUUGUUUCACUAAUUACUAUCUCACAACUAUUGAUACUUCACUGCUGAUGUCAUCAACAAUCCCUGUGGGUGUGACGCUAACUGGAGGCACUGCUCUGUCUGAAGCUCUAUUACUCAAAUUAGCCUUUGAUCUGAGCCUUGUUUUAACUCAGCAGAGCUGUUUUAGCUGGAACUACAACAUGUGUUGUUUAAAUCCAUUUUGUAUUUAUUCUUGAGUUUUCACACCAUCUUAAAAAAAAUUGACAGUGUUUGCUAAUGUGCGGACUGUGUUACCACACUGAACAUUCCUCCAUAGACAUACAUGUAGAACACCCCCAGCAUGAUAUAUUAAA
Boleophthalmus pectinirostris (great blue-spotted mudskipper) is the source of this 817-nucleotide non-coding RNA. NCBI's taxonomy places the organism in Eukaryota, Metazoa, Chordata, Actinopteri, Gobiiformes, Gobiidae. The record is from the annotation of a RefSeq genome assembly.